GAAAUGCGAUAAGUAAUAUGAAUUGCAGAAUUCAGUGAAUCAUCGAAUCUUUGAACGCACCUUGCGCUCCUUGGUAUUCCUUGGAGCAUGCCUGUUUGAGUAUCAUGAAAUCUUCAAAGUAAAUCUUUUGUUAACUCAAUUGGUUUCUACUUUGGUAUUGGAGGUCUUUGCAGCUUCACACCUGCUCCUCUUUGUUCAUUAGCUGGAUCUCAGUGUUAUGCUUGGUUCCACUCGGCGUGAUAAGUUAUCUAUCGCUGAGGACACUGUAAAAGGUGGCCAAGGUAAAUGCAGAUGAACCGCUUCUAAUAGUCCAUUGACUUGGACAAUACUUUUAUGAUCUGAUCUCAAAUCAGGUAGGACUACCCGCUGAACUUAAGC
RNAcentral lists this unclassified non-coding RNA (378 nucleotides) under plant metagenome. Its description in RNAcentral is "partial contains 5.8S ribosomal RNA, internal transcribed spacer 2, and large subunit ribosomal RNA". The stretch from base 1 to 105 matches the Rfam family "5.8S ribosomal RNA", at positions 50 to 154 of the family's 154-position model. The record is from RNAcentral.